RNAcentral lists this ribosomal RNA (765 nucleotides) under Aporcelaimellus obtusicaudatus. Its description in RNAcentral is "eukaryotic LSU rRNA". It matches the Rfam family "Eukaryotic large subunit ribosomal RNA", at positions 373 to 928 of the family's 3401-position model. The record is from RNAcentral. Lineage: Eukaryota; Metazoa; Nematoda; Enoplea; Dorylaimida; Aporcelaimidae.
ACUUUGAAGAGAGAGUUCAAAAGGGCGUGAACCGCUUAGAAGAAAACGGACGGAGCCGUCGGGAGCCUUCGGGAAUCAGUCUCGCGAUAGGCGAACGUGCGGCGAUUCGGAACGCAAGUCCGAUCGUUGUGCGGCUAGUAGCUUUCGCUUGGCGCAUUUCUCGAAGGUAAGCACCGCGACCGAUACGAAAGGCCGACGAAGCGUUUUGGAUUGAGGGCGAGACCUCUCACGGGGACUCGUAACCAGUCUUUACGUCGUAGUCGUCGGACCGCAGUAUGUAUCGAUAGCCAAAGUUAUAUUAUAUACGCCGGCCGUAAAGCUCGCUCGAGUAACGGAUAGUUGGUCAAUAGUGUUGGUACUUGCUCGCAGGUGCUAAUCUAUUCGAUUCGGCUUUGAAGUUAUCGGCGACGUUUCGGCGUAUAGGCGUCGGCGGUGUCAGUGUCGGCCACCCAUCCGACCCGUCUUGAAACACGGACCAAGGAGUCUAACAUAUGCGCGAGCUAAUGGGUGGAAAACCCAAAAGCGUAAUAAAAGUAAACGCCGUUUCGGACGGCUAAGGUACGAUCCUAGUGUCCUUUGCGACAUUAGGCGCAGUACUGUCCCGUCCCGACCGCAUGUCGGUAGGGCGGAGAUAGAGUGCAUACGUUGGGACCCGAAAGAUGGUGAACUAUGCCUGAGCAGAGCGAAGCCAGAGGAAACUCUGGUGGAGGUUCGUAGCGGUUCUGACGUGCAAAUCGAUCGUCAGACUUGGGUAUAGGGGCGAAA